Molecule: long non-coding RNA, 249 nt
Organism: Gigantopelta aegis
Lineage: Eukaryota; Metazoa; Mollusca; Gastropoda; Neomphalida; Peltospiridae
Exons: 2
Source: RefSeq, a predicted model, not a curated record
GACAUCGUUGCAGUCUCAUGUGUGGAAUCUGUAUAUUUGUAGUGGGUCUUUUGCAGUUUGUGUUUGGUCAAACUUUGGAGGAAAUCUAACGGCGAUUAAAGUGCAUUGGAUAGAAUUCUUAGAAGUAGAAUUCGAACACAAAUAUGAAUCCGGACUUGUUGCUGAAAAACAAAUGCGGAUUUUUGGAGAACGUUUUUAUUUUCUUAUGUGUAUCUAACUCGACGUAAAACAUAGAAGUGUCGAAAAGUU